UACGUAGGCAGCGAGCGUUGUUCGGAGUUACUGGGCGUAAAGAGUGCGUAGGCGGUUUUCUAAGUUUGGUGUGAAAUCUCCCGGCUUAACUGGGAGGGUGCGCCGAAAACUGGAAGGCUUGAGUAUGGGAGAGGUAAGCGGAAUUCCUGGUGUGGCGGUGAAAUGCGUAGAUAUCAGGAGGAACAUCUGCGGUGUAGACGGCUUACUGGACCAUAACUGACGCUGAGGCACGAAAGCGUGGGUAGCAAACAGG
Molecule: ribosomal RNA, 253 nt
Filed under: uncultured bacterium
Lineage: Bacteria
Description: partial 16S ribosomal RNA
Rfam family: Bacterial small subunit ribosomal RNA
Source: RNAcentral